CAGCCCCGCAGCUGACGGUUCAGACUGUUGCGCCGUUGGAGACGAUGCCGGUAGUGGAGGAGCCGACAACGCCGGCGUACUACACGCCGGAGGCCGGC
This 98-nucleotide transfer RNA is filed under the name Corynebacterium striatum. RNAcentral's name for it is "tRNA-Ser". The record is from RNAcentral. Lineage: Bacteria; Bacillati; Actinomycetota; Actinomycetes; Mycobacteriales; Corynebacteriaceae.